CUUCCUGUCUGUGUAAUGGAGGUUGUGUUGUGUUUUUGCAGCGACUCUGUACGCCUCGUGUAUUCUGCUCGGCGUUUUCCUGAACGGAUCGGUGCCAAUCUUCUUUGAGAUGUUCGUGGAGACCGUGUAUCCGGUGCCGGAGGGGAUCACCUGCGGAUUCGUCACCUUCCUCAAUAAUAUCUUCGCGGGGGUCCUAUUGGUGUUUUUAACCUUUUAUCACACAGACUUAUCCUGGCUGAACUGGUGCCUGACGGGAUCUUGCUUGCUCAGCUUGUUUUUAAUUGUGUGCUUCAGGGAAUCCUACGAUAGACUGUAUCUAGACGUCUUUAUUUCUGUCUGAGGGGCCCCUCCCCCCGCCCUGGCCCGGGCUGAACUAUCGAAAUCUGUUUGCACAAAAAAAAAAAAAUGGGACCGUAGCCAUGGACGGGACAGGACCGUAACCAUGGCCGGGACGGUUGCCAUGGACGGAACAGGACCGCAUUUAGGGACGGAACCGUAGCCAUGGACGGGACCGGACCGUAAGCCAUGGACAUGGCCGAAGCUGCACUAACAACGGGACUCUCGUGUCGUUCUUCACUCCGUGGGAACUCGGAAACGCUCAUUUCCUCGUGGAAUUCUUUUUUUUUUUUUAAUUGUCUUUUUCUGGAUUAUGUUAAUAAAAAUGAACCUUUUUUGUAACGUUUUAAUGAA
Rana temporaria (common frog) is the source of this 690-nucleotide long non-coding RNA. RefSeq lists it as uncharacterized. Lineage: Eukaryota; Metazoa; Chordata; Amphibia; Anura; Ranidae. The record is from RefSeq and is a predicted model, not a curated record. The transcript is spliced from 2 exons.